UCCGAGACCGCCUUUUAUUUGCUUCAAUGUGGUAAUAAAUCUACUGUUCCACGUUAGUGAGGGCCUACUUAAGUAGAAUUCGGGCACAACCACAUUGUAGUUUAAUUCUAUGUAAAUGAAUGAAGUUACCUAAUAUUGGUAUCUAAUCCAUAUCCAUAAUUAGGUAACUAUUAAAAUAAAUUACAACUUCCUAAGCAAGGCAGUAGGUCAGACGCAAAGAGUUCACAAGUUAUCAGCUGUUCUGUGCGAAGUUCUCAAUGAGAUCUGACAGCAGCGAGUGUUGUCUCUGGCUGAAAACACGCGUUCACGAAAAAAGAAGUUGAUGACAGAACAGAACAAAAGAAAAUUUCGGCCAUGACUCAAUCAAAAUUACACGUAAAAAUAAAGUCUAAAAUAUGAUCACAGCAAUCAACACGAUGUAGUGAGCUGCCCGCACACAGACUGCGAAAACCAAACAAAUAUGAAUAAUUCCGGCGCUGGCAUCUGGUGGCUGCUCUGUCUACUAAUACAGGUGGUCGGCGCUCUUGCCUGCAAGAAAAAGCCGUCGUGCCGCCCGCCGCGCUGCCCCGGCGGCUGCAAGCCCAAGUACUGGUGACCUGCACGAGACACACUUCUACACGGAGGAAAAAUACGUGCGAGGAAACCGAAGAAUAUUAUGUGGUACGAGUUGGCCGCGUCGCUGUGGUGGUGGGUGCUCUGCCUCGUGGUGGGCGCGAGCGGCUGCAAGAAGAAGACCAUCUGCCGCCCGCCGCCCGGCGGCAAGCCCGGCUGCGGCGGCCGCGGCCGCCCGUGACGUCACGCGCCAGCCGACGCUCAGCUGCACCAAGCCCUUACGCGUGGUGUUCUCCGCCUGGCUUUCUGUUCCAGUGCAACAAACGUCACCGGAGCAUGCCUGGAGCAAGUUCUUCCAGAACGCACAAAUGAAGGCAACUAAGCGGAGGGAGCUCAAUCUACUGCACAUACAAGCUUUCAUCCAAGAAUCGAUUCUCAGGUGCGCGGACGGCGAGCGCCGGCGCCCCGGCACUCAGCGCCGCCGACACCACACCGUCUGUCCUACGGCGCUUUUGUAGUCGUCAUAUUCUUACUAUUACCCUUUUAUACAUAAAUCAGAAAAUAUACAAUAAAAACACAAAAGGCAAU
This is a long non-coding RNA of Helicoverpa armigera (cotton bollworm), 1140 nucleotides long. RefSeq lists it as uncharacterized. The record is from RefSeq and is a predicted model, not a curated record. The transcript has 5 exons. NCBI's taxonomy places the organism in Eukaryota, Metazoa, Arthropoda, Insecta, Lepidoptera, Noctuidae.